Molecule: small RNA, 163 nt
Filed under: Limnothrix sp.
Lineage: Bacteria; Bacillati; Cyanobacteriota; Cyanophyceae; Pseudanabaenales; Pseudanabaenaceae
Description: c-di-AMP sequence
Rfam family: c-di-AMP riboswitch aptamer (ydaO/yuaA leader)
About the family: This family represents a conserved RNA structure found upstream of the ydaO and yuaA genes in Bacillus subtilis and related genes in other bacteria. The ydaO/yuaA element is thought to act as a genetic "off" switch for the ydaO and yuaA genes in its native state.
Source: RNAcentral
UCGUAGUCAACGCUUAAUCGAUCGGCUCUGGUCUUUAAGUCCAAUUGAAGCAGGGCGAUCGAGCGGGGGAACCAGCCUAAAUUUUGGGGCGAAUCUUGUGCUGCAAGAAGGCUACUUCCAAGCCUAGCCCGUCAGCUAACCUCGUCAGCCAAUGGAAGGAGAA